Molecule: ribosomal RNA, 253 nt
Filed under: uncultured bacterium
Lineage: Bacteria
Description: partial 16S ribosomal RNA
Rfam family: Bacterial small subunit ribosomal RNA
Source: RNAcentral
UACGUAGGGUGCAAGCGUUGUCCGGAAUCACUGGGCGUAAAGGGCGCGUAGGCGGCUCGGUAAGUAGGGGGUGAAAUCCUGCGGCUCAACCGCAGGGCUGCCUUCUAAACUGUCGAGCUCGAGCACGGUAGAGGCAGAUGGAAUUCCCGGUGUAGCGGUGGAAUGCGUAGAGAUCGGGAAGAACAUCAGUGGCGAAGGCGGUCUGCUGGGCCGUUGCUGACGCUGAGGCGCGACAGCGUGGGGAGCAAACAGG